Molecule: transfer RNA, 74 nt
Filed under: marine sediment metagenome
Description: tRNA-Arg
Rfam family: tRNA
About the family: Transfer RNA (tRNA) molecules are approximately 80 nucleotides in length. Their secondary structure includes four short double-helical elements and three loops (D, anti-codon, and T loops).
Source: RNAcentral
GCGCCCGUAGUCAAACUGGAUUGGCACCUGAUUACGGAUCAGGAUCGAUGCGAGUUCAAGUCUCGCCGGGCGCC